Molecule: unclassified non-coding RNA, 801 nt
Filed under: Paenibacillus larvae
Lineage: Bacteria; Bacillati; Bacillota; Bacilli; Caryophanales; Paenibacillaceae
Source: RNAcentral
CUAUGGAGUACAGAAAUGUACAAGAAGGCUUUACUCACUCGUUGUCAGUUUUGAAAGGGCGACCUUUCAUCUGUUCGCGGUGCGAACUACCUGUUUGGUGGCGAUGGCGGAAGGGAACCACACGUACCCAUCCCGAACACGGCCGUUAAGCCUUCCAGCGCCGAUGGUACUUGGACCGAAGGGUCCCGGGAGAGUAGGACGCCGCCAAGCAGACCCACUGUGGUGGGUUUUUAUUUUCGAAAAAAUAUGUUUUAAACACAUGCUUUCCUGUGUAAAGGAUAGGGCAUAACCUUUCGGAUAAGUUAGUUUUACAAGUUAAAUGUUUAUUCCAUUGAAGUAAUUUUUCGAGGGCCCUUAGCUCAGUUGGUUAGAGCGCACCCCUGAUAAGGGUGAGGUCGGUGGUUCGAGUCCACUAGGGCCCACCAUUAAAUAUCCUAAAGAUUAGGGUCAUAAAAAUAUGGGGCCAUAGCUCAGCUGGGAGAGCGCCUGCCUUGCAAGCAGGAGGUCAGCGGUUCGAUCCCGCUUGGCUCCACCAGAAACGCUUCAGCAAAGCCAACCUUUCCAACAAAUAGAGGCUUGAAAAGAACGGAGCGCUUGUGGUAAGAUAGCUUUUGCCGCCGACGCGGCGAAACCUUGUACCUUGAAAACUAGAUAGCGAAACAAAGCGAGAACUUAGAACAUCCUUAGUAUAAAGCGAAGUGUUUCGUUUGAAGUGAGCGACUUUGCAGAUGAAUGUUCACCUUACGUGUGAUUGAAAACAUUCAGGUGCAGCGAAAGCCCUUCAAAGAAAUACAAAGCAUA